RNAcentral lists this ribosomal RNA (253 nucleotides) under uncultured bacterium. RNAcentral describes it as "partial 16S ribosomal RNA". It matches the Rfam family "Bacterial small subunit ribosomal RNA", at positions 524 to 776 of the family's 1533-position model. The record is from RNAcentral.
UACGUAGGGGGCGAGCGUUGUCCGAAGUUACUGGGCGUAAAGCGCGCGUAGGCGGUUGUUUAAGUUAGAUGUGAAAUCCCGCGGCCCAACUGCGGAACUGCAUCUGAAACUGGGCGACUUGAGGACGGAAGAGGGCAGUGGAAUUCCUGGUGUAGCGGUGAAAUGCGUAGAUAUCAGGAGGAACACCGGUGGCGAAGGCGGCUGCCUGGUCCGUAUCUGACGCUGAGGUGCGAAAGCUAGGGGAGCGAACGGG